RNAcentral lists this ribosomal RNA (253 nucleotides) under uncultured bacterium. RNAcentral's name for it is "partial 16S ribosomal RNA". It matches the Rfam family "Bacterial small subunit ribosomal RNA", at positions 524 to 776 of the family's 1533-position model. The record is from RNAcentral.
UACGUAGGGUGCGAGCGUUGUCCGGAAUUAUUGGGCGUAAAGGGCAGGUAGGUGGUCUUAUUUGUCAGGGGUGAAAGCCUUGGGCUUAACUCAAGAAGUGCCCCUGAAACGGUGAGACUAGAGUGCUGGAGAGGGUCGUGGAAUUCAUGGUGUAGCAGUGAAAUGCGUAGAGAUCAUGAGGAAGACCAGUGGCGAAGGCGGGUCUCUGGACAGUUCCUGACACUGAGGCACGAAGGCCAGGGGAGCAAACGGG